Molecule: long non-coding RNA, 3297 nt
Filed under: Sus scrofa (pig)
Lineage: Eukaryota; Metazoa; Chordata; Mammalia; Artiodactyla; Suidae
Description: lncRNA (ENSSSCG00055011383.1)
Source: RNAcentral
UUUUUUUUUUUUUUUUUUUUUUUUUUGUCUUUUUAGGGCCUCACUUGUGGCAUAUGGAAGUUCCCAGGCUAGGGGCUAAAUCAGAGAUACAACUGCCGGCCUAUGCCACAGCCACAGCAAAAUGCAAUUCUGCCGUGUCUGUGACCUACACCACAGCUCAUGGCAACUCUGGGUCCUUAACCCACUGAGGGAGGCCAGGGGUUGAACCAGCAUCCUCACAGAUACUAGUUGGGUUCUUUACUACUGAGCCACAAUGGGAACGCCCCAAAUUUUCCUCUUCUUAUAAGGAUAUCAAUUACAUUGGAUUAAGGCCCAUUCCAAAGACAGCAUCCAAACUUGAUUAAACCUGCAAAGACCGUAUUUUCAAAUAAAGUGACAUUCACAUGUGGUUAAGCCAUAGAUAGAUAGAUAGAUAAUAGAUGAUAGGUAGGUAGAUAGAUAGAUAUGUAGUAAAGAAUUAAUAUUCUUAUCAACAAGCCUCAGUUUUUAUCUAUACAACAGAUAUAAUAAAACUGCCCUCAUAUGAUUGCUGUGAGGAUGAAAUAUGUGAACGAAUCUAGCAUGAGGCAGAAUUAGCUAUAUGGUUGAUGCUUGUAUUAAUAACUCAGGUAACUAUUUUCAGGUAGUAGUUACCUAACUCAGGUAACUAUUUUCAGAAGUAGUUUCAGGAAAGGAUUUUCAUUGUGUUCUAUAUAUCUAUAUGAUUCUAAAUACCACGUCAUCAAUUUAAAACAAAGCUUUAAGUCUCAUGGAUAUGGCCAAAAGAAGUACAUGAUUCAGAAAAGGCAUUAGGUUGCACUAGAACUUUCUUUAGCCUUGGAGUAUUCUACUAGAGAACAAAUAUAUAGAAUACUUGCAAAGUUAAUGUCUGGGGAUUCUGUUUUCCCCCUCUGUAAUAGUCCUAACUGUAUUUACACCAUAAGGCAGCAUUAGAUUUUUGGCUAAUUGCUGAAUUAGAUAAAUCUGGUGGCUUACGGCUUUCUUCUAUUUUCUUCUCUCACUAUUGGAUGUUUGGCUUUUAACGUUCUGGACAAUCACCUGUACUUCCCACUUUUCUUUGCCAAUUGGCACCAGCACAUUCAAAGUUAAAUUUAAUGCAAAGACAUCAUCUGGCACAUUUCUCUAAUCUCAAAAAGGUAAAUUCCCAAACCUCAGUUGAAGUAUUUCUAUUUUAGCCUGAAUUUUCAAGAUAAUUGCCUCCUCAUGUCUCCACUUAAUUUGGCUUGUGCAGAUACAAUCACAUGAACAAAUACAUGUUAAUGGAAAGCCUUCUUAGCUGUCAGUGAGUUGGACAUCCAUUGGGGAUGGUAUAUGGGAGCUCUGGAAUUUAUAAUCCUUUCCACUCUGCCAUUAAUUAAAAGUGCCCCAGAGACAGAUUGGGAGUGACCCAGGGUGAAGGGGUUGAAGGUUAAGCCUUUUAGCUUUGAGCCUCCAGUUUGAAUCUGAUCUAAGCUGGUAAUAAAUAAGAGCUACUGCUAUUUGAUAUCAGUUUGGUGAAUCAUGUGAAAUGAAUUAGUAAUCUCAGGCUUGUUCUGGUGGACAGGUGUCCUCAUACAGUGGGAGCUGAUAGCCUUUGCUGAAGAACCCAACAACCUGAAAAAGAUGGAAAUAAAAUGGCUUCACAAAUAUUCUCUUACCUUGCUAAGAUUGCUGUUCAGUAACAUGGAAAAGUAAGAAACCUUAGGAUUCCAUAUGCCCAGCUUGUAAAUGGCUAUGGGAAUAAAAGGGAUCAGGAUGGGCUUAAUAAGACCCAGAGAGUGGGUCAAAUGGGAAUCAGGUGGUGGGUCUAAGAGAAAUUUAAUAUCCUUGGCUUCUCAUUUUUUCCCCCUUUCUGUUUGGUUGUCAUGGGAAUCUGUAUUUGUGGAAGAAAUACUGACUGCAUUUGCCCAGGGCAGAUGUAUGUACCCUCUAGCCUUCAAAUUUAGCAUUACUAGGACAGAAGGAUUUGUGGCUGGAUAGAAUGAAGGAGAGUCAUACCGGUAAUUCUGGCAGGCAAAAUAAAACAUUGCAAGCAUUAAAAAAAAUUUUUUUUUCCAAAAGAUAUCAUGUACUGAAUUGAAAUAAGAUCAAAACUUGUUUUACUAAACUGAGGAAGGCUAUUUAGAGCUUAGUUUAACUCAAAUUUUGUUAUUAGGAUUAAUCCAGUAGUACUUUCACCCAUGUUUUAAAUGUAUAUUGAGGAAGAACUGCAUUUUUUUUUUUAAUAAUAGAAAAAAAAAAUGGGGAAGCCCUGAGGAAUUAAGUGGAGGAAAAAGACAUCCAACCUUCAAUGUACUUAACUUUAUUUUUCUUUUUGUGAAAGAAAAUAUGAAUCAUUAAUAUCAACUACAUCUUGCUGGUUUUAGUAAGCUUCAACAGGCAAAAUGUACUAGUUCUUUCUGAAUCAGGUUUGUGAAGUUAUUUGUGCAUGUGUGUAUGUGGGUAUGUGAAGUACCAGCUUUGUGCAUAUACAAUAGUGCUAAAGAAAUCAUAAUGUUUUCCUUAGCACUUUUUAUCUGACAGAGUCUUUGAAAAUAAAUUCAUCAGAUUGUGGUGAGUAAUACCUUUGGCUAAGGUCUAAACACUACAAACAUGAUGAACCUAUGAAUAUGUUUUCUUGAUUUUCUUCUUUAAAAUGUCUUAACUUGCUAUUGUUCCUCUUUGUAACUCAUCCCAAACCAAGUAAUUCCAUUUUGUUUCUGUUUGUUUAGUGAUUACAUCAUGUUGCCAUUAUAAAAGAGUCCCAUUACCUGAGUCUGGAACUUUUAAAAACUCCUUUUUCCGUCUCUUCAUCCCCCCAUCCUGGCAAACUGCUCUUUCAUUUCCUGCCAGGUAGAUAAUCUAAUAAAUGCUUUCACAUCAAAGGUUAAUGCCUGAUUAUGGAUUAAAUAUGAAAGCUGAGCCACAAUGAAUAGUCUGUAUUUGUUUCUGACAUAGAAUAGUAGUUUCUUCAUAUGGUUCCGCCUAUGACUCCUUAAUUUGCAUUUAAGAACAAAACUGCAUUGGUUUCUCAUGGUAACAUUAGGGGAUUAGAGUCAUGGCAGUCAGUGACAACAAUAGUUUGGGGAAUAGAAAUCCUUUACUGAGAGUUCCCAUCAUGGCUCAGUGGAAGGGAACCCAACUAGUAUCCUUGAGGACCCGGGUUCGAUCCACGGCCUUGCUCAGUGGGUUAAGGAUCCAGCCUUGGUUGCCAUGAGCUGUGGUGUGAGUCACAGACGUGGCUGUGGCAUAAGCCAGGAGCUACAGCACCGAUUCAACCCCUAUCCUGGGAACUUCCAUAGACUGAGAGUUCAGCCCUAAAAAGACACACACACACAC